Molecule: ribosomal RNA, 1616 nt
Filed under: uncultured eukaryote
Lineage: Eukaryota
Description: SSU rRNA
Rfam family: Eukaryotic small subunit ribosomal RNA
Source: RNAcentral
ACGAAACUGCGAAUGGCUCAUUAUAACAGUAACAAUUUAUUUGGCAGAAAAUUUACACGGAUAACCGUAGUAACACCACGGCUAAUACGUGACCAAUCCUUCUUCCCCCUUAAAAAGGGUAAGAGGGGUGCUUAUUAGCUAAAUCAAUGCAUAGUUGAAUCAUAAUAGCUCAAGAUCGCGUGGGUUUACCAGCGACAUGCCAUUCAAGUCACUGCCCUAUCAUGCUUUCGACGGUAGGUUAUUGGCCUACCGUGGCGUUGACGGGUAACGGGGAAUCAAGGUUCGAUUCCGGAGAGGCAGCCUGAGAAACGGCUACCACAUCCACGGAAGGCAGCAGGCGCGCAAAUUACCCAAUUUUGACACAAAGAGGUAGUGACAAGAAAUAACGGUAGGCAACACCUAGUGUUGCUUCUCCGGAAUGAGAGCAAUUCAAAACACUCAUCGAGUAGCAAGUGGAGGGCAAGCCUGGUGCCAGCAGCCGCGGUAAUACCAGCUCCGCUAGCGUAUACUAAAAUUGUUGCUGUUAAAAAGCUCGUAGUUGGAUAUCAGCCUUGGCAUAUUGGCCCAGUUCACGUUGAACUUGGUGGCCUCUUGUUCGGUGUUCCGCAUCGGAUGAUAUUUGCCAAGGUUUACUUCACGAAAAGCGCCCUGUCCAUUAACCUGAAUGGGGCGCUUGUUACUGAUCAUUUACUUUGAACAAAUUAGAGCGCUCAAAGCAGGUUACUGCCUGUAUGCAUAUUCAUGGAAUAUUAAUAGACGACAUUUGGCCCCUCUUUACUUUAUAGUAAAGGGGUAUUAUUGGUUUGAGCCAGUGUAAUGAUUGAUAGAAAUGAUUUUGGGGGUGCUAGUAUCGCCGGGCCAGAGGUAAAAUUCUAUGAUUCCGGUGAGACUAACUAAUGCGAAAGCAUUCACCAAGGGCAUAUUCUUUAAUCAAGAACUAAAGUUUGGGGAUCGAAGACGAUCAGAUACCGUCGUAGUCCAAACUAUAAACCAUGUCGACUAAGCGUUGGAGAGCAAACACUCCCCAGAACUUAAUGAGAAAUCAAAGUUUUUGGACUCAGGGGGAAGUAUGCUCGCAAGGGUUAAACUUAAAGGAAUUGACGGAAUUGCACCACAAGGUGUGGAGCCUGCGGCUUAAUUUGACUAAACACGGGAAAACUUACCAGGACCAGACAUAGUAAUGAUUGACAGAUUAAAGUUCUUUCAUGAUUCUAUGCGUGGUGGUGCAUGGCCGUUCUUAGUGCGUGGUGCGAAUCGGCAGGUUAAUUCCGAUAACGAACGAGACCUCAUCUGUUUAACUAGCUCUGGCUCACUUGCAUUUUUGUGCAUUUCAGCCGUUGGUACUUUUUUUCGGAAGAGUACCUGAAGAGCUUCUUAAAGGGACAAUUUGCGCUUAGCAAACGGAAGAUUGAGGCAAUAACAGGUCAGUGAUGCCCUUAGAUGCUCUGGGCUGCACGCGCGCUACAAUGGUUCAUUCAGCGAGUGCCGAGCUUGUGAAAGCGAGGUAAUCUCUAAAGUGGAUCAUAGUUGGGAUAGAUGAUUGCAAUUCUUCAUCUUGAACGGGGAAUAUCUAGUAAACGCAGGUCAUCAACCUGCAUUGACUACGUCCCUGCAAU